This 279-nucleotide ribosomal RNA is filed under the name uncultured bacterium. RNAcentral describes it as "partial 16S ribosomal RNA". It matches the Rfam family "Bacterial small subunit ribosomal RNA", at positions 506 to 784 of the family's 1533-position model. The record is from RNAcentral.
UGCCAGCCUCCUCGGUAAUACGUAUGUCUCGAGCGUUACCCGGAAUCACUGGGUGUAAAGGGUUCGUAGGCGGUUUAAUAAGUUGGAUAUGAAAGACCGGAGCUCAACUUCGUGUUUGUGUUCAAAACUGUUAAACUAGAAUCAGGGAGAGGUAAGUAGAAUUCUAAGUGUAGGGGUGCAAUCCGUAGAUACUUAGAGGAAUACCAAAAGCGAAGGCAACUUACUGGAACUGUAUUGACGCUGAGGAACGAAAGCGUGGGUAGCGAAAAGGAUUAGAUA